GGCUCAGUGGUCCAAUGAUAAAGCGCUUGUUGCAGAGCUAGAGGGUCCUGGGUUCGAUCCCCAACAGGGUCG
Molecule: transfer RNA, 72 nt
Filed under: Schistosoma japonicum
Lineage: Eukaryota; Metazoa; Platyhelminthes; Trematoda; Strigeidida; Schistosomatidae
Description: tRNA-OTHER
Source: RNAcentral